Long non-coding RNA from Cucumis sativus (cucumber), 9512 nucleotides. RefSeq lists it as uncharacterized. Lineage: Eukaryota; Viridiplantae; Streptophyta; Magnoliopsida; Cucurbitales; Cucurbitaceae. The transcript has 4 exons. The record is from RefSeq and is a predicted model, not a curated record.
GAUCUUGUUUCCCCACGUUUCACCGAAAAGGCAUGCACUCCAGCGCUUAAAUAUAGUUAGGAGGGAACUUGCAAAGACAAAGAGGCGCGAAACUCGUCCCUCGAAAAGAGCUCUCCAUAUUUAGAAACUUCUCGUUUCUGGCCAGCGCGGUUUUUCUCCGUCUCUUCGGAUAUGUCAUCGGCAGACUCUCAGCAAUCCGUUGAUGACUACUUCGGAUUCUUACGAUACAAGACGGGAUCAUUCACAGGUGCGCUCUAACAUUUUAGAUUCUGUUCUUCUUCUGCUCGAAGCAGAACUCGUUAUUCGAUUGAAAAACCCUAGGUUUCCGUGAUUUAUGUUUCUCCGUUUGUUGUUUUUGUAUCUGUUUCUUCUUUUUCCCGGAACCUUCUCGUUCGUAUCCGGAGAAAUCGUGGUUGUAGAUGCUGUAUGUAAGUGUCCGUACGAUCUGGAAUGAGGAAACGUCGUGUUCUGUUUCUCUUUCUGGCGUAGCUUUUAUUCGUUUUCUUCACGACUGGAUUUUUUUUGGAUUAUUCAGUUUUAAUCUCUUCCAGAGCUUUGAUUUAACUAAUCUGAUCGUUCUGGACGAUCGAGACCUCGCUUUGAGUUCCUUUUUUUUGCUGUUGAAAGUGUUUUAUGAGUGUACUGUUUGCUGUAUGGCUAUGAACGUUUGAGAAAUGUUGUUAAAUCUCAAUGGAAGAAUGCGCAAAUUUAUGAAUCCUUUUUGGAAGACAUCGUAAAGAAAAAAGAAUAGAGUAAUCUUUCCAUAAAACGCUUGUUUGAUGCUUGAAGUAAGAAGUAGUGGAGAUGAAGCGAAGAUUCAUUGUUAUCGUGUAAAUCUUGCCUCAAUUUUCAUACCUCAUUUCUGAGCUGAAGCCUUGAGGUAUUCGUGUAACAAUUUCUCCUAUUCAUCUUUUUAUUUCUCUAUCGUACGAUUCGCAUCCACAAGAGCCAUCAGAGUACUCUAAUUCAUAUUUUAAGUGUGAAUUUAGUUUGUUGUAAAAGUAACUGUUGGUUAUGAAGUACUUGCGUUCAGGCUUUAACAUAAAUUAGUAAAAGAUCUACAAAUAUUUGGCUGAUUUCCGUGUUGAUCUUGGUUUUGAUUAUCUACUUUGGACUUGCCACGCAAGAACCUUCUUGGAAACCUAACAUCUGUGUGGAUGAUUAUACAGCACGCAUGGCUGUCAUUCUCUCAAGUAUCAAUUUGUUUUUGGCGUCUCAUAAAUCAGAAUCACCUAACGUAAUUGGCUGCUUAUUGUUAGUUGGUUAAGAUUCAUUGUUGAGCAUGCAUAUACAUCUUAAAAUUUACGCAGAAGAUAUGCACAGCCACAGUCUAUUUUCUUAAGGUUACACUUGUAAUCUAUACACCUACACAUGCUUGCAAGUAAGGCGCACAUUUGGACAUCUCAUAUUGUGUCAACAAUGUCAAUCGCACUUGAACAUGUAUCUUAAUGAGAUCCAUAUACAUGCCUUGACUACCAAAUUGCUUUUCUCCUUCAAUUCACACCAUUGCCGAUCUUUUUCAUUUUCAUCUUCGAUUCUCUCAUUUCUUUUCAAGUAGUCAAGUAAAUAUAAUACUGUCAUUUCGUUCUUCAAUGAUCAUAGCCAAGCUGUGAGUGUGAGCCUUUUUGCAAUUUGUUUUUUAGGUUUCUGACUCCUUUGAACAUUUCACUGAUAAAUAUAUGUAGUCAACGGAUGGUUUCUUUUACCAUUUUUUUCUCUUGUUUCUGUGUAGGAAAUGUUGAACAUUAGAAAAUGAAAAGUUUGCUGAAUCCAUAAGCUUAAUAAAUUAGUUUCAUGGAUGUCUUUUUUGUAGUGUUUAUUUUUAAUUAAUAUUCAUUACGCACUUCAUCUUAUGGCUGAUCUCCUGUCAGUUUGUGUGCCUACCUUGUUUAAUACUGUUGCAUCCAUUCUGUUUAAACUUUUUACACAAGUAUUUGAGUGAACACUUUUGAUUUACUGAAUAUCUUUAGUAGUUAUUUUAUGUCAUCACUUGUGAUAAAAGAUUCACGUUUAUGUAGGUUUACCAAUAUAAAUGAGACUCUUUUGUUUGUUAUUGAUGAGUAUGGCAGUGAUAUGAUCUUACUUAUGUACUUUUGUUUGUGAUAUAUGUGGUAAAUCUAGCUUGAAAAAUGCUUGUACAAUCUAUGCGUUUGGGUAACAUGUGCAAUAGUCAUAUUUACAUUAACCUUCGCUGAGUGAAUUUAUAUAAGAUCAAACACUGAUUUUACACCCAAAAUCCUGACUCAUCUAGGUUCAUAGGAAAUGCAGUCGAGGUUGAAAGUGUUCAUUGUACUUAUAUUGCUUUCAAAACAUGACUAGAACUUCCAAAUUAUCUUUUGAAAUUAGAGAACCGAAAUAUUGUUGUUCAUAUGAUAAGUGCUGGCUGAUUAUGCAAAAAAAAUCGACAUCAUGGUCUCUAAUAAAAGAAAGCUAUGUUAUGAGAGGUUGAUUGCAGCAGGUAUCAGGCUCAUCAUUUUAUUGAUACUACACUUUGCAUAUCAGAACUGUAGCAAAAAGAACUAUAGACUUUUCUUUUUCUUUUUCUUUCUUUCUGUGGCUAAAGAUUUGAAGGUCAUUUCUUCCUUUAAAAAUGUAGGUAUGCAAAACAAUGGUUUAAAAUAUUUAUAUAUUGGGCUUGUUUCCUUUAUUCAUUUUGGGAAAUUUUGUAGUUUGUAUUCUUGUUCAUCAACAUGCUAAUUGAAUUAUUUAAAACUUGAAACAAAAUAAUUUUUAAAAUAAUUGUUUUUGUUAAUUUAAAUUUAAAUUUAUUUUAAAUAAAAAUAAUAAGAAAAAGAACGAUGGUAAAAUUUUCUCUGCGAAGACCUGAUCCUUACCCUGACUCCCCAACCCGACCUUGUUGCCAACCCUGAUACUACUACAAUGGGAGUACUUUAUGAUGGGGCUUUUCUUUAGCUAUUUCUACCUAUCCGGUGCAACCGUGCUGUAGCUUCUCGACUCCUCUCGUUCUGUCCUUUCUCUUUGAUUUAUUUUUCUCGUUUGUGUUUGCUUUGUUUAUUGUUUCUUGCUUAAAGGUUUACUUCGUGCAUAACUUUAGUGCUUAAACUGUAUCUUCAAUUUGACUAUCUUUCCUCUUUUUGAUCAUGGAUUUGUUAUUCUUUUAUCUAUUAAAGUCUGUCGACGCAAGUAGCCUCCAGGGUUUAAUUGAAUAUGUGGUAUUAAAUAGAUGAUUGUUGGUUACUGCUAGUGUUAUACAUUGAUUAUGUACUGGCAUUUUAUCCGAUAUAGUCUUUUGGUUUGUUGUCUUUUACUCAUCGUUGUUUGUCUGCCAAUUUAAUCUUUUUUUUUUCUUUCAAAUUUUAGAAAGUUUAUUUUUAUUAUAUCCUGUUGCAUAGUUGUUGACCAUAUCUUGCAGCGUUGGGUGGUACACUUGACCCUGUAUCAUUGAGAUGAGGUACGGAUGAUCAGAAGCUUGGUAGUUUAGGGAGUUAAUAACCUCAUUUAUCAAGGUGAUCAUUUUCUCAAUUUUAGUAUAAACUCCUUUGUGUUUCUUCUACAUAACAAGAAAGGAUAAUCAGAAGCUUGUUAUAUUAGGGAGUUAAUAACCCCAUUUAUCAAGGUGAUCAUCUUUCCAAUUUUAGUAUUAAUUCCUUUCAAUGUUUCUUCUAAAUAACAAGAAAGAAGAGCUCACCAUUAGCAUGUCGACAAGUCACGUUAUGAGGGCAAAUAGAAAAAAAAUUCACUAAUCAGUGUGAGGUGCAGAAUUCCUAUCUUUGGUGUCCUAAAUCUUAUUGGAUUUCUAAAUUUCUGAGAACUCUUGGAAGCAAUUUCCCUUUAUUUAGGAACAAUUCGAUAAAAUGAAAAGCAGAGGCAAGGAAGUAGACUCAAAACAGGAGUUUACAUAUAGACACAAUCUGCAAUUUGCACAUUCGAAAGGUAUUGUACUAUACUCUUAUCAUUUUUCAAUUGUUAAAAUCACCAAUUUAGUCCAGUCCCUAUGGAGAAAGUCGAUUUAGUUUAACUUUUAAAUCACAAAAACAAAAAUUUGCAAUUAGAACUUAAAAUUUUGAUGACAUCCCCAUAGCUACAUAAACCAUUUCUCCUUCAUAUUUACUAUUAGAAGUUAUUUGGACUCUUAAGCCUCUUUGAAGAGUUACCCAAUUAACGUAGGCUAUAUAAGACAGGAAUGCUUCACACUAUUUGCUCUAUAAAGUAGGGUCUAUUCUAAUUUUUUUUGCAAAAGAUCAUCUUUACGAUGAAAGCAAUUAGGUACUUUAGGUAAGUUCAUUGUGAUACAAAUGUUAUAUUUUAUCAUAUUAAUAUUCAUGUUAUCAAAUAUUAACUUAAAAGAAUUCAUGGCUAUGGUAAUUAUAACAAGGAAUUUUCAAAAUUAAAAAGGAAAAGGUUUUGACUAGGGUAUAAUAUGUGGUUUUGAUUUGUUUUCUAAUACAUUACAUCUUAAAAUAUAACAAGCUAUAUUUUUAAUACAAUAUCUUUUGUUUUGCACACACACACACAAAAAAAAUCCUCCAAAUUUUGUGAACAUGUCCAAGGGGGUCUUUCUCAGAAUUUUGUGAAUACCGCUUAAGCUUCUAAGCUUCCUCCAGAUUACAAUAAAACAGAUAGCUAUUUUUCAAUAACUGAUCACUUUAUAAAUUCUUCGUUGUACUUGGUUUUUUUCUCCUGUUUUAUUUUUUUCUACAUGUUUACUUAUAUUUGUCAAUGGCAGGGUGGAUUGGAAAUUUAAGCUCGGUAAAAUAUCGAGAACAUCUCUUUUCAAACGAUAAGCCUAUCGUUUGAAAAGGUAAUGGUAAUUCAUUUGUUAUUUUGUUUUGUUUUUUAAAAUUAAUUUUUAAAAAACAGGUGUCUGGUACUUAAAUCAAUUUUUAGUUUUUUAAACAAGAAAUAUGUUUUUAAGGUUAUGGAAGCAAUAUGAAAAUGAUAAAGAAAUUUUUUAGGAAAAUAGAAAACUAGAUUUGUUAUUUACUUUUUGUUUUUGAAAAACAGAAAACUAGAUUUGUUAUCGAGUCUUAAAAUGUAUAUACACUACGUACGAUAAGCUUUUCCUCGUUUUUAAAUUUGUUUUCUGAAAACCUUUUUGAAAACUGAUCUAGUUAAACUUUUUAAAGAAUAAUUAAACGGGUAAAUAAUAAUAAUUUUGGAUAAACGAUAGUGGUAAAUAUUUUUUUAUGAUUAAAAUUUCAAUCAACUAUUUCAAUGUGUGUAUUUAUAUAACUGUUAAUUUCAAAUAAUAAAUUUGUGAAUCUAAAACUUACCUGAGAAGGAAUGUUUAGAAAGUAAGAGUGUAUUUGGUAAUCUAUUUGUUUUAAUGUUUUUUCAAAUAUUAACUUUUAAGAAAUAGUUGUGCUUGUGAACAGAUUUACUUUGUUUUUUAAAUAAAACAUUUAAAAUUAAUUUUUGUUUUAAAAAAAAAUUCAAUUUGUUUAUAUAAAAAUCAAAAUUAAAUGAGUUACCAAACACAUCUUUAUAAACAAAAAUUAGAAAAUAUAAUCUAAAAAACAAACAAAUUAAAUCAAGUAAUUAAAAUGGUUAGUAGAUGAGACUCUGAUCUUUGAAACUGUAAAGCUUGUAACUUUCUUAAAAUAAAGAGUUAUGUGUAAUCUAGUCAUCUUUAAAAGCAUUGUUUUUAUCCUUUAUUUUCUAUAUUUUUAAAUUUUUUGUUUAAAACAAAAAACAUAUAUGGCUGGCAUCUGAUUUAAAUGAAAACUUUCUUUUUCUAUUUUCAAAUUUAGUCAUUAUUAAAAAAAGAGAUGUCUUGUUUUAAAAAUAAAAAAAUGAAUUAAUUACUAAAAAAAAAAAAAGAAACUAAAAAGGUUACCAAACAGUUUAAUGUUAUUAUAUAUUUUAAAAAUCGAGAUUGGAUUCAAAUAGACAAUCUCUGUAAACUAAAUAUCAUUUUAAGGAGUGAACUGUAUAAAACUUGGGUAGAAGUUUUUUAAAAAACCCUUUUAUUAGACACAUAUCCCAACGGAAAGAGUAUGAUCCUUUGAGAUUUUUUUUCUAUUUUUUGUUUUUGAAAUUUGUAUCUAUUUGUAAAAUAGGAAGUAUAACAUAGCAAAACACGAAUACUAUUUUGAAAAUGAAAAACGAAGUAAAAUAUGAGAUGAGAUGGCUAUGACUCAGAAUGCGAAAUUCUCUUAGUCAAUACGCGAGUGCUAAAAGCAUGUAAGUUUCAUGGUAUAUAAUAUUCACGAAAAGGAAAUAUAUUCGUUGUUCUUUUAAAAACAAGUAGGCAAACAUUUUUAGAGUUUAGUGUAGGUGAUAAAAUAUAUCCGUUCGUGAAAUUGUCAUUUUCUAUUAAAAUAACAACCAAUAUUUCCCUUUGUAUUUUUCAAUCGUUCGACCAUGGAUUAACCUUUGAUAACAUUUUGGUGAACAAGUCUUGGGGUUGUGAAGAGUAAAUGAACAUUCUAAUUUCAAAUUUUAAUUUCCGUAUAAAUGGCCCGUAUUAUAGUUUCAGGAGUGUUUUACUGAAGCUCAGUUUUUUAAAACUAAAAAGUACAAAUUUCAAAACUGAAAAAUUAAAUCUUAUUCGAUAGAGUAUUUUCUUUCUUAGUUUUGGCUCUAGAAAUUUGGCGGAAAAAUGAGGUUCUCAAUGUCGUUGAAAUCAAACAAAGAACCAUUAAAUUGGAUCCAAAAAGCUUCUCAAUUCUCGAUAAUAUAUAUUAUUUUAAAUUUCUCAAAAUGUGAAAUGCAGAUCAAAUAUUAAAUCAUUUCUGAACAAUGCAUGGAUUUUGUGAUAAUGGGGGUUUAUUCCAUUUUUUAAAAACUCUAACUUAAAAGGGCUCAGUUACUUAAGUGGAUUUUAUGUUUUAAUAUCACACUAGCUUUAAAAUUAAGACCAUAACUCGCAGACGGUAGAAAAAUCCAACGCAAGAAUUUUGGUAAAUAAAGAAAAUACAUACCUCUCCAAAAGCAUUGCUGAAUCUCCUCCGUCACAAGGCCUAGUUGCAAGAAAAAUUCGUACAUAAGUAAUAUUUUCGUUUGGGUUUGAAGUAUAAUCUUUGAAUUUUGCUCAUUCUUACCCUUAAAUAUUGUUGAUACUGAUGUUCCGAAGUAGACAGUUCGUCUAGGCAAGUUCCAUAGCCAUUUUCUUGGAACAUCAAUAGGUUUCAUACUAGAUUCAUGAUCUGCAAACAUCUGUGAUUUUGGGGAAAAAGUUAAAAAAGAGAAAUUAUGCAGUAACGAUUAUGUUAUCAUGAGGUUAAAACACUUUUUUUUUCAUCCUGGAAAUUCUGAGUAUAAAAAAAUCUUGUGUGUGUAUGUGUAAUCCUUUUUUAAAAAAAUUAAUUUUAAUAACUUUCACUCUAACGUGUCGCGUUCUCUCUCUCUAACAAUAGAUUUAUCAAUAAAUUUUCUUUAAAAAAAGAGAGAUAAUAUAUGUUGUAAUUUUUCCAAAUGAUUCUCUUCCUAUAAAAGUUCUCUCUAAAAUCCUGUAUCGGCCACUUUUACCUUUUUCUUUUUUCACUUUCUUCCUAAACCUUUUCGCCACUGUAGAACUUCCUAUGGUUUCUAAUUUGCCUUUCUUUUUUCUUUAACUCUCUAACCAUAUCGUUUGCCCUCUAAUGUUUAUCCCUAAUUUUUCUUUUCAACUUUAAAGAUAUUUUUUCUUUCUUUCCUUCCCUAAUACUCUCUAUUUAACAGUCUCUAUUUAACGAUAUUUUUUCUUUCUUUCCUUCCCUAAUACUCUCUAUUUAACAGUCUCUAUUUAACGAUAUUUUUUCUUUCUUUCUUUCCUUCCCUAAUAUUCUCUAUUUAACACAUACCUCACCUUUUAACUUUUCACCCUCUAAGCUUUUAUUUUUUUUAUACAUAUCUUUAUUCUCUAACUGUAAUCAAUAUUCUUUCUUUUAAUUUUCUCUCUCCCAUCAGAGUUAGCUGGUACUUAUUAGUAUUGGUCUUUCUUCAUAAUCUCAAUGAAACUUUGUUUUGUUUUAUUAAAAAAAACACUCUAAUUACUACUCUUAUCCAAAAUUUUAUUGGUUUUUUUAUGCUUUUCUCUAAUAUUUCGUUAUUCUUCUUACUUCAUGGUCUCGUGAACAUAUUUCUCAGACUUCAACUUUUUUCUAACAUGUCUUUCAUUUUAACUAAUAUUCUCUCUAAGAUUUAUACUCUUUCUGUAGUUCUUCUCUCUAUGAUUCUUUUUGGGAAAUCGUCCAAAACGGCGUUUAAUAGGUUUUGUCUUGUAAAAUCAUCACCCUUUUUUUAAAAUCGUGCGAGACAAACUAUUAAAUGCCGUUACAAUUUCACAUUGAUUUGUCCCAAGUUUUGUCUAUCUAAUAAACUUUUACUUUACUACCUCGACAUCUAUUUUGCUUUUUCUGAUGCUAUCCAACUUUGCAAAAGGAAACUUAAGUUAGUUGUCAAAUAUGGUGUAUAAAGAUUAAAAUAUCUGUUGGUUUAUGUUUUUUUAAAAAUCAGAAGACCAAUAGUUAUAAAAAAAAUAAAAGAAAUCAUCUCCGAUUUUUUAUUAUAAAUAAUAUAAAGAUUUCAAAUUCAAGCAGUCAUUUUUGGGAAACAAAGAGAGCAUUGAAGAUUUCAUUUUUCAAAAAGGAGAAAAGAAAAGGGAGAAAAAAAGUCACCAAAGAUUUCCUUUUUGGAAAAAGGAAAGGAAAAAAGAGAGAGAGCAUUAAAGAUCAUAAUUAACCAAUAUGAAAACGUUAUGGAUUUUCUAUCGACUAUCUAUUUCUCAGCCAAUAAUGAUAGGUGUUAGAAGCGACUUACUUCGUUUACUUGGAAAUAUGUUCCAUUGAGUGGAAAACUUCCUCGCAUUGCAGUUCUACAAGGUACCUGUAAUUUUGCAAGAGAGAGACGUAAAAAUAGUUUAAGAGACUAAAAGCCUCUCAUCGUAUCGAAUCAAGUUCGUGUUCUUUGUAGUUUACCAGUAACGUUCCUCUGACUGUUUGUGAAUUCGCUUCUCUUCUACUAUUGCAUGUGAAACAUGUUAUUUCAUUGCAGAGUCUGUUUGGGUCUUGAGACCCACAACUUUGUUCUGGCGGUUGAAUCGAGUUUGCCGUUUCACCUGGAGAGACAUAGAAAUUUUUAAAUUGCUGUUGAUGAUUACCGAAAUGGAAAAAGGGGAAAGGGAACAGAAAAUCAUUGGUUCAUAGAACAGAUUGACUGCUGCUUACCGGGAGUCCAUAUCGCAAGAAGAUACGGGCUUGGAUCAUCAGGUUCCAUUGAGAAAAAUGAAAGAACGAACAACACAUACUAAAAACGCAAUACAACAAAUGGAGCCCACCAACUACGAGAAGGGACUCAAAUUCAAAAGGAUCAAAGCCUAAUGCAUAGCUACGAAAAAGUUGGGAAAUAAAGAGCAUGACGAGGUAUUAAAUCUAAUGUUCUCCCAAUUCUCGUCUCAAGACUACUCCUCCCUGAAAAGAUUCUGUUGUUUCUUUUUAACCAAAUUCCCAGUAAGUUUGCAAAGUCUGCUAGUUUGUUAUAAUCUUAUUGCUUCUAUUGAAGUUGUGUUUGUUAUGGUGACUUUCUUAAUUCAUCGACUCCGUGGUUUAUACUAAAAAAGAUUGAACAAA